GAUCCUGGCUCAGAAUCAACGCUGGCGGCGUGCCUCAGACAUGCAAGUCGAACGAUUAAAGCUCUCUUCGGAGAGUGUAUAGAGUGGCGCACGGGUGAGUAACACGUAAGUAAUCUACCCUCGAGUGGGGAAUAACAACCGGAAACGGUUGCUAAUACCGCAUAAUGCAGCGGCACCGCAAGGUGACAGUUGUUAAAGAUUUAUCGCUUGAGGAGGAGCUUGCGGCAGAUUAGCUAGUUGGUAGGGUAACGGCUUACCAAGGCUACGAUCUGUAACCGGUCUAAGAGGACGGUCGGUCACACUGACACUGAAUAACGGGUCAGACUCCUACGGGAGGCAGCAGUCGGGAAUUUUGGGCAAUGGGCGAAAGCCUGACCCAGCAACGCCGCGUGAAGGAUGAAGUAUUUCGGUAUGUAAACUUCGAAAGAAUAGGAAGAAUUAAUGACGGUACUAUUUAUAAGGUCCGGCUAACUACGUG
RNAcentral lists this ribosomal RNA (478 nucleotides) under uncultured bacterium. RNAcentral's name for it is "bacterial SSU rRNA". It matches the Rfam family "Bacterial small subunit ribosomal RNA", at positions 15 to 507 of the family's 1533-position model. The record is from RNAcentral.